RNAcentral lists this ribosomal RNA (491 nucleotides) under uncultured bacterium. RNAcentral's name for it is "bacterial SSU rRNA". It matches the Rfam family "Bacterial small subunit ribosomal RNA", at positions 40 to 507 of the family's 1533-position model. The record is from RNAcentral.
CGGCGUGCCUAACACAUGCAAGUCGUACGAGAAAGGGUCCUUCGGGACCUGAGUAAAGUGGCGCACGGGUGAGUAGCGCGUGGAUAAUCUACCCUUCAGUUGGGAACAACUCAUCGAAAGGUGGGCUAAUACCGAAUAAUACUGCUCGACCUUGGUCGAGCAGCCAAAGAGAGCCUCUGCUUGCAAGCCCUCGCUGAAGGAUGAGUUCGCGUACCAUUAGCUUGUUGGUAGGGUAAUGGCCUACCAAGGCGACGAUGGUUAGCUGGUCUGAGAGGAUGAUCAGCCACACUGGAACUGAGACACGGUCCAGACUCCUACGGGAGGCAGCAGUGAGGAAUAUUGCGCAAUGGGGGCAACCCUGACGCAGCAACGCCGCGUGAGUGAGGAAGGUUUUCGGACCGUAAAGCUCUGUCGAGCGGGAAGAAAUGUAUCAUGGCUAAUAUCCAUGAUACUUGACGGUACCGCUAAAGGAAGCACCGGCUAACUCCGUG